Molecule: ribosomal RNA, 291 nt
Filed under: uncultured fungus
Lineage: Eukaryota; Fungi
Description: partial 18S ribosomal RNA
Rfam family: Eukaryotic small subunit ribosomal RNA
Source: RNAcentral
CNAUUANANCNCAUGGCUCAUUAUAUAANUUAUCGUUUAUUUUAUUACCUUACUACAUGGAUAACCGUGGUAAUUCUAGAGCUAAUACAUGCUGAAAAUCCCGACUUCGGAAGGGAUGUAUUUAUUAUAUUCAAAACCAAUGCCCUUCGGGGCUCCCAUGGUGAUUCAUGAUAACUUCUCGAAUCCCACGGCCCCGCCCCGGCGAUGGUUCAUUCAAAUUUCUUCCCUAUCACCUUUCNAUGCUACGGUAGUGUCCUACCAUGGUUGCAACGGGUAACGGGGAAUAAAANA